UGAGUACGAGAUGCUACGGCAUCGAAGCAGUCUAUGUCAUACUUCCAAGAAAAGCUUGCACUGUCAGAAACAGAUAAUGCCUGUACCAUAACCGACACAGGUGGGUAGGUAGAGUAUACUAAGGGGCGCGAGAUAACUCUCUCUAAGGAACUCGGCAAAAUGACUCCGUAACUUCGGGAGAAGGAGUGCCUUAUUUUUAAGGUUGCAAUAACAAGAUCCAAGCAACUGUUUACCAAAAACACAGGUCUCCGCUAAGUCGUAAGACGAUGUAUGGGGGCUGACGCCUGCCCAGUGCCAGAAGGUUAAAGAAGUCGGUUAGCAUUCGCGAAGCUGGUAACUGAAGCCCUGGUGAACGGCGGCCGUAUAACGGUCCUAAGGUAGCGAAAUUCCUUGUCGGGUAAGUUCCGACCCGCACGAAAGGCGUAAUGAUUUGGAUACUGUCUCGGAGAGGGGCUCGGUGAAAUAGACUUGUCUGUGAAGAUGCGGACUACCUGCACCUGGACAGAAAUACCCUAUGAAGCUUUACUGUAACUUGAAAUUGAAAUUGGACUUUAUUUGCGCAGUAUAGGUGGGAGGCGUUGAAAAUAUUCUUGCGGGAAUAUUGGAGCCAUCAGUGAGAUACCACUCUUGUAAUGUUAGAUUUCUAACUUUAUAUCAUUAUCUGGUUAAAGAACAGUUUCAGGCGGGCAGUUUGACUGGGGCGGUCGCCUCCCAAAUGGUAACGGAGGCGCACAAAGGUUUCCUCUGAACGGGUAGAAAUCGUAUCUAGAGUGUAAAGGCAUAAGGAAGCUUGACUGUGAGACCUACAAGUCGAGCAGGGACGAAAGUCGGUCUUAGUGAUCUGACGGUGCUGAGUGGAAAGGCCGUCACUCAACGGAUAAAAGUUACUCUAGGAUAACAGGCUGAUCUCCCCCAAGAGUUCACAUCGACGGGGAGGUUUGGCACCUCGAUGUCGGCUCAUCGCAUCCUGGGGCGGUAGUACGUCCCAAGGGUUGGCUGUUCGCCCAUGAAAGCGGUACGCGAGCUGGGUUCAGAACGUCGUGAGACAGUUCGGUCCAUAUCCGGUGUAGGCGUUAGAAUAUUGAGAGGAGCCUUCUUUAGUACGAGAGGACCGAGAAGGACAUACCUCUGGUGUACCAGUUAUCGUGCCAACGGUAAACGCUGGGUAGCUAUGUAUGGAGUGGAUAACCGCUGAAAGCAUCUAAGUGGGAAGCCCACCUCAAGAUAAGUAUUCUCA
This 1237-nucleotide ribosomal RNA is filed under the name metagenome. RNAcentral's name for it is "bacterial LSU rRNA". It matches the Rfam family "Bacterial large subunit ribosomal RNA", at positions 1564 to 2816 of the family's 2925-position model. The record is from RNAcentral.